This 241-nucleotide long non-coding RNA is filed under the name Elaeis guineensis (African oil palm). RNAcentral's name for it is "long non-coding RNA (EGUI_LNC027350)". Lineage: Eukaryota; Viridiplantae; Streptophyta; Magnoliopsida; Arecales; Arecaceae. The record is from RNAcentral.
UGCUCCUUAUUCUACCCUACUGUCACGAAACUGGUAUGGGUCUCCUCUGCAAAAGCUUCCUCCAUGCGAGUGUACUUCUCUACAUGGGCAAACAUGUCUGAAAAGUUAUGGGGAUAAGUCUUAGUCAAUAAUUUUUUUAAGUCAUUCUUUAGUAGGCUGCCCAUCAUCAUGGCCAUCACGGUUGACUGAUCCAGAUCGUGGACUUUUAGGGUCAUCGCAUUGAAAUGGUUGACAUAGGCAC